UGGGACGGCCUUUCCCUACUCGAAACAUAAUAAAUCGUCCCAUAUGUUUUCGUGCAAAUAAAAAUCGACUCCCUGUGCCCAAAUGACAUCUUUGAUUUCCUUUUGUUAACUAAAUUCUAAAAUACUUUAAAACAUCCUCAGACGUCUACGGCCGCGAAUAGGAAAGUGGAAACCUCUGGAUUAAGAAAAGUUUCAGUGAAAACUAUUCCAAAUGGCUCUUGGUGAAUAUGACUUGAGAUUCUAGAUUUAACAACAUGGCAGAUAUAGAAUGUGGAGGAUAUCAAUUCCUCCACAACUUUGAUUCUGGAAAUUUGGCUAAUGUCGAGUAUCUCGGGUAUUAUGAACCCGAAGAUGAAGAGCCAUAUUUUGAAUUUGAUGUUUGGACAAGACCUGAUAAUGGAGGCUCCGAGUAUGAGAAUGGGAAUCGUACCUGGUUCUACUUUGGUAUCAGAGGUGGGACACCAUUCAGCACCAUAAAGUUGAACAUUCAGAUGAAUAAGCAAAGCAAGAUGUAUGGCCAAGGGAUGGCACCUGUUUAUCGGGUGCUCCCUGGAAGAGGGAAUUGGGAAAGGAUCAAGGACAGGCCGACGUUUUCAGUAAAUCUCGUGCAAAAUAUAACAAGUGGAAAAUUUAUUCUAAGUUUCAAACAUAAAUUAGGGGAAACUGAGAAGACGACAACAUUUUUCGCAUUCACAUACCCAUUUUCUUAUUCCGACCUCCAGAGUUUUUUGUGUUCGUUAGACUUCAUGUACCGAAUGAAGAAUGAGACAUCAACACACACAAAAGUAGAUGAUAUUUACUAUCACAGAGAGUUGCUGUGUUACACUCUAGAGAAACGAAGAGUUGAUUUAAUAACAAUAUCAUCCCACCAUAACAUUAGCACUCAACGAGAGCCAAGAUUCGAACAUCUAUUCCCCGAUCUGUCGACACCCAGAUGUUUCAAAUUUAUCAAAAAGAAUGAAAGUGAAAGUGAUAAAUAUCUCUUCAAGUUCAGAAGACAAUUCAUGAAACCGACUCAAAAACAGGUAAUAUUUCUCAGCGCCAGAGUUCACCCUGGAGAAACGCCUUCGAGCUUUGUCAUGAAUGGGAUUUUGUCGUUUUUGAUGUGCAAAGAGGAUCCUGUUGCCAUAGCCCUAAGAAAGUAUUACGUCUUCAAGAUAAUACCAAUGAUCAAUCCCGAUGGGGUUUAUAGAGGCAAUUAUAGGACAGAUACAAGAGGAGUCAAUCUUAACAGGGUUUACCUAAAUCCUUCUCCUACUGAUCAUCCUGCAAUUUAUGGCGCAAGGAAAUUGAUCCUCUUUUACCACCAUGGUCGUGAAGUUGAAGAACCGCCAAAUCUAUUUGCUGCUUUCAGCCUUCCUAGCCCUAAUGAUAAAACAGAUGACACUGAUUUGAAAGUACUAAAAACUUACGAUCAGGCUGAUGAUAGCCCAGAGGAGGAAUGCGAUGACAGCUGUGGGGAUUUAAUCCACCUUCCGAACAAUGGAACUGCGGAUUGUAACGAAGAAAAAAAUAGUCCAGAUUUGUCUUUCCACCAGUUGAUAACACCGCCUGAAAAUUCUGGCAUAUUUCUGUACAUUGAUAUGCAUGGUCAUGCCUCAAAAAAAGGCAUUUUUAUGUAUGGAAAUCAUUUUAAAAACAUGCAAGAUAACAUUGAUUGCAUGCUACUGCCAAAGUUGAUCUCAAUCAAUUCCCAACAUUUCCAUUUCGACUCAUGUAACUUUACAGAGAGAAACAUGUAUCUCAAGGAUAAAAAAGAUGGCAGUUCGAGAGAAGGCGCAGGCAGAGUCGCCACGCUAAAGUUAAUAGGGCUGAUCAGAAGUUAUACUUUAGAGUGUAAUUACAACAUGGGGAAGAGAGUGAACCAUCUUCCUCCACCCCUGCGAGAGACUCUAGACAAGAAGCCCAUGCAACCGCAUAUAACACCUCCAAAGUUCACGCCACAGAUUUUUGAAGAGGUUGGACGUUCCAUUCUUUGGUCUGUUCUUGAUUUAAAUGGUCUUCAUCCAAAUUCUCGCCUUAUUAAUUCAUCAUAUAGAUGUUUGUUGAAUGUACGAGAAGUGCUGAAGUAUAAAGUAAUUGCUGAUCAAAAUCUGAGUGACGGCAAAGCCGAAAUGAAAAAAGCUAGAAGUAGCAAGGUGAAGGGUGACAAUAGUGGCAUCACUUUCAAUGGUAGCAAACCAAAAGUAAACAACCGAGGAGAAGAUAGAUCCAGGAAAUCGAAGGUGUCCCCAAACCCUUCGAAUAGCGCUUCUCUGUCUAAAUUUGGGACCAAAGGUCAGCCCAGCCAUGUGUCGACUGCACCAGAAAUAAGGAAAAAGCGAAUGAAAAGGACAAAUUCACCUAAUUGGAUGAGUAUGUCUCGUCUCGAGAAAAAAGGCGAUGCCAAAAGGCUUCUGCCUGAACAGCGUAGGAAGAAGUUGAAACCAAAGAAGAAGAACAGCAUCACGAAAAAAAUAUCUUUGCAGUAAAUGAAAGGGAUUCUUUAGUAUAUGUAUUGGAAGAACUGCUUAAACGAGCUACUAUCAUCUGCUGAAAGAUAACACUAUAGCUUGACGUUUUUUCAGUUUGCCAUUCUUCUCACAAAUAAGCAAAGUAUUGCUGCUGUUGUCAGCAAGUAAAUCAGUCAUUCACUCGUGGGGAGCUUGCACAUAGUGUUUAAUUGUUAUAUUCAAAAUCUAAUUAUU
RNAcentral lists this unclassified non-coding RNA (2687 nucleotides) under Cimex lectularius (bed bug). RNAcentral's name for it is "cytosolic carboxypeptidase-like protein 5, transcript variant X3". Lineage: Eukaryota; Metazoa; Arthropoda; Insecta; Hemiptera; Cimicidae. The record is from RNAcentral.